GAAGAAAGAGGGAGGCGGGAGGAACACAGGCAAGUCGAACGGAAAGGCCCUGCUUUUGUGGGGUGCUCGAGUGGCGAACGGGUGAGUAACACGUGAGUAACCUGCCCUUGACUUUGGGAUAACUUCAGGAAGCUGGGGCUAAUACCGGAUAGGAGCUCCUGCUGCAUGGUGGGGGUUGGAAAGUUUCGGCGGUUGGGGAUGGACUCGCGGCUUAUCAGCUUGUUGGUGGGGUAGUGGCUUACCAAGGCUUUGACGGGUAGCCGGCCUGAGAGGGUGACCGGCCACAUUGGGACUGAGAUACGGCCCAGACUCCUACGGGAGGCAGCAGUGGGGAAUAUUGCACAAUGGGCGGAAGCCUGAUGCAGCAACGCCGCGUGCGGGAUGACGGCCUUCGGGUUGUAAACCGCUUUCGCCUGUGACGAAGCGUGAGUGACGGUAAUGGGUAAAGAAGCACCGGCUCCCUACGUU
Molecule: ribosomal RNA, 468 nt
Filed under: uncultured bacterium
Lineage: Bacteria
Description: partial 16S ribosomal RNA
Rfam family: Bacterial small subunit ribosomal RNA
Source: RNAcentral